UAAAGUGAUGUCGUCUGCAUAACGAAGAU
RNAcentral lists this non-coding RNA (29 nucleotides) under Bombyx mori (domestic silkworm). Lineage: Eukaryota; Metazoa; Arthropoda; Insecta; Lepidoptera; Bombycidae. The record is from RNAcentral.